CGACGUGGAUAAUCUACCCGACAGUCAGGGAUAACAUUUCGAAAGGAAUGCUAAUACCUGAUAAGCCUACGCCCUCUUCGGAGGAAGUAGGAAAAGGUGGGGACCUUCGGGCCUGCCGUUGUUGGAUGAGUCCGCGGCCCAUUAGCUAGUUGGUAGGGUAAUGGCCUACCAAGGCUACGAUGGGUAGCUGGUCUGAGAGGAUGAUCAGCCACACUGGAACUGAGACACGGUCCAG
RNAcentral lists this ribosomal RNA (235 nucleotides) under uncultured bacterium. RNAcentral describes it as "partial 16S ribosomal RNA". It matches the Rfam family "Bacterial small subunit ribosomal RNA", at positions 113 to 334 of the family's 1533-position model. The record is from RNAcentral.